This 253-nucleotide ribosomal RNA is filed under the name uncultured bacterium. RNAcentral describes it as "partial 16S ribosomal RNA". It matches the Rfam family "Bacterial small subunit ribosomal RNA", at positions 524 to 776 of the family's 1533-position model. The record is from RNAcentral.
UACGUAGGUGACAAGCGUUGUCCGGAUUUACUGGGCGUAAAGAGCGCGCAGGCGGUCGAUCAAGUCGAGUGUGAAAGCCCCCGGCUCAACUGGGGAGGGUCAUUCGAUACUGAUCGACUCGAAGGCAGGAGAGGGUAGUGGAAUUCCCGGUGUAGUGGUGAAAUGCGUAGAUAUCGAGAGGAACACCAGUGGCGCAAGCGGCUGACUGGCCGAGACCUGACGCUGAGACACGACGGCGUGGGGAGCAAACCGG